AGCUACUCCGGGGUUGGUCCAUAUGGAGGUGGAACGCGUGAAGAAGCUGGCGAGGGAAGAAGAAAAGGCCCAAAGCAGAAUAAUCCAGGGAAUCCCGGAGGAAUGUCUGGCGAAGGCCAUCGGUCUGACCUCGCCAGCCGACGCCUGCCGCGCGGCCGCAGUGUCCACCGCGUUCCGGUCGGCGGCGGACUUGGACGCGGUGUGGACACGGUUCCUGCCGCCGGACUGCGACGCCGUCCUGGAGCGGGCCGUCCACCUCGUGGAUGCUCCCUCCAAGAAGGAGCUCUUCAUGGACCUCAGCAACGAACACGUCGUCCUCGACGAUGGCAAAAUGGUCUGUCGAUCAGCCCUUUACUUUUGCAGUUGCACUUAGCUUUCUGACGAUGGAUUUGGUUAAACACGCAUGGGCUAUCACUAGAGUUUUGGGCUGGAGAGAUCGAACGGCGCCAAAUGCUACAUGUUGUCAGCAAGCGAGCUGGUAAUCGAAUGGAUGCAUGAAAAUCUUUACUGGACAAGGAGGACCGACCCUGAUUCAAGGUUCUCCAAGGUGGCAGAGCUUCUCUCAGUCUGCUGGCUCCACAUCUACGGCACGAUCAACAGCAGGGAGCUCACUCCAGCCACCCACUACGCGGCCUACCUCGUCUUCAAGCUCACCCAUGAUGCCUCAGGCCUCAGUUCCCCGCGGCAGACAUCGUUCGUCAAGGUAGGUGGCGGGCCGUGUCUCCAGUCCUGCCGGCCUUCCAGCACCAGCGGCGGUGCCUCUUCAUCCCUGCUGGUGGGGAGCACCCACACAGUGUCUCUCCAUCCCUGCAACCGUGCUUCAUGCACCCGUAACGGCGCUGCGGCUGCGGAGCCGCACGAGCACGAGCAAGGAGGAGGAGUCGGCGGUGUCGUGAGGUACCCGCGGCAUCGGGUCGACGGGUGGUUGGAACUGGAGAUGGGCGACUUCCACACGGACACGGACAUAUGCGGUGGGGAUGAUGUUAUGAUGGAAGUGCAUGAGUGGGAGGAGCUCAAGUGGAAGAAGGGACUCAUCAUCGAAGGAAUCGAGAUCAGGCCUAGAAAUUAAUAAUGGUGAACAAAUUAAUCUCCUCGUACCAUAUUGUAAGUCGUGACUAAAUAAUUUGUCUCGGUUUGUACUCUUUGAUCGACUGUUUGAAUAAGAAUAUGUUUUAACACGGUA
RNAcentral lists this ribosomal RNA (1183 nucleotides) under Triticum aestivum (bread wheat). RNAcentral describes it as "partial small subunit ribosomal RNA". Lineage: Eukaryota; Viridiplantae; Streptophyta; Magnoliopsida; Poales; Poaceae. The record is from RNAcentral.